RNAcentral lists this small RNA (127 nucleotides) under Marmota monax (woodchuck). Lineage: Eukaryota; Metazoa; Chordata; Mammalia; Rodentia; Sciuridae. The record is from RNAcentral.
GCCAGGCGUGGUGGCGCAUGCCUGGAAUCCCAGCAGCUUGGGAAGCUGAGACAGGAGGAUCAUGAAUUCAAAGUGAGCCUCAGCAAUUUAGCAAGGCCCUAAGCAACUCAGUGAGACCUUGUCUCUA